UUGACCUUUAUUUGACUCAGCAACGGUUAUUAGCGGAAACUGCUGAAUUUUCUCUGCUGACAAGCUCACUCUGUUGGCAUCUACUAGCCCUCCGGUACUGUCUAGUCUUUCCAACGUAAGAAUUUGAACUCCUGAGUGUCUUGCAGCACAACUGCACAGGCUUGAUGCACACGGAUGUAGCAGACGAUUCACGUCAUCCAUGUUCGAGCUUAGCGGUGAGCACAUUCUCCCAACUCGCACAGGAACAGCCCGUGCUUUCCUUUCAAGGCCCCUAAAUUGUUACUUGGCUCUGGAUAGGACGUGUGCAGGUGUUCUGAUCUCAGUUUGAUAUCUACCUUUGCCUGACCUUGCACCGCCACGAAGUGCAGCACGUCAUCGUUGGUACAACCAGCUGUACCGAAUGCAGGAACUUUGUUUACUAUCAGAGCAGCUAGAACCUUCACCCCUGCUUCUCCUAGGUAAAGUUGAAUUAGAUAACGUCAAGUCCUUGUCAACGCGCGCUAGGCAGCGAUCGACUUUCUUUGCAAAGGGUAAAAGAGCGUUUUAGCACUUCAACCCUGCCCUCUCAUCAGUUUCGGUUGUCGUCUUCUUUGUUGAACGGCUAGUUCGUUCAAGCGACAUCUUUUACACAUCCUAGUGGGGGCGUGGUUGUAGGAGAAAUGACUCAGAAUUGCCAUCAAGCACUCUAGGCAAGCGGUCUGCGUUCUGCGGCGUUUCAGAUAGCUGAAUUUAAUCAACUGCAGUCAUUUGAAACAUAGAGCUGUUGCUGAGAAGGUAGGAAGGCAAGAAAAUGGGUGUCCGACGAUUGGGGCCGUUACCACGGGCGUUUGGCCGACUGUAACUCAUACAGAUCUUGGCUGACAUGCAGGGUAACGACACGAUUUGUAGACGCUACUGUCCGGUGAACGAUGUGUUUGUCCGAUGAACGGGGUAUGCAAGGCUCCGCACAGUUUUCAAUCUCACUCUAAGCAGAGAAGAGGGACUGCGUUCAAAAACGGAUAACUGAGAACUCGCGUCCGGAAUAUGAUGGUGUUUGAGGAACGGGGCCGCGCUCUACAAGAACCGAGACCUCACCCAUUGAUCGAUUGCUUUGCUGACGGACCAACGCAGAAGACAGGUUGCUAGAGCU
This is a long non-coding RNA of Corticium candelabrum, 1129 nucleotides long. RefSeq lists it as uncharacterized. The transcript is spliced from 3 exons. The record is from RefSeq and is a predicted model, not a curated record. NCBI's taxonomy places the organism in Eukaryota, Metazoa, Porifera, Homoscleromorpha, Homosclerophorida, Plakinidae.